UACGUAGGGUGCGAGCGUUAAUCGGAAUUACUGGGCGUAAAGGGCGCGUAGGCGGCCAUCUAAGUCAGACGUGAAAUCCCCCGGCUUAACCUGGGAACUGCGUCUGAUACUGGACGGCUCGAGUUUGGGAGAGGGAUGUGGAAUUCCAGGUGUAGCGGUGAAAUGCGUAGAUAUCUGGAGGAACACCGGUGGCGAAGGCGGCAUCCUGGACCAACACUGACGCUGAGGCGCGAAAGCUAGGGGAGCAAACGGG
Molecule: ribosomal RNA, 253 nt
Filed under: uncultured bacterium
Lineage: Bacteria
Description: partial 16S ribosomal RNA
Rfam family: Bacterial small subunit ribosomal RNA
Source: RNAcentral